ACGAGAAAAGAGAGAGAAAUAAAUGGACAAAGAUAAAGAAAGAGAGAAAACUCAAGACUCCAGUUGUAUUUUUUACAAGUUUUAUUCUCCGCUGAAGAAACAAACAGCCUUGUAUCUUCCACCCUCUUGACCUUAACCUGGUUCCAGAUCUGGUCCUGUUAUCAUAAACCUGGUCCCAGAUCUGGUCCUGUUAUCAUAAACCUGGUUCCAGAUCUGGUCCUGUUAUCAUAAACCUGGUUCCAGAUCUGGUCCUGUUAUCAUAAACCUGGUUCCAGAUCUGGUCCUGUUGUCAUUGACCUGGUCCCAGAUCUGGUCCUGUUGUCAUUGACCUGGUCCCAGAUCUGGUCCUGUUGUCAUUGACCUGGUUCCAGAUCUGGUCCUGUAGACAUUGACCUGGUCCCAGAUCUGGUCCUGUUGUCAUUGACAUAAACCUGGUUCCAGAUCUGGUUCUGUUGACAUAAACCUGGUUCCAGAUCUGGUCCUGUUGUCAUUGACCUUAGCCUGGUUCCAGAUAAGGUCGUGCCGUCUCCGACAAGGCAUUGUCUUACAUCAGAUAGUGCGAUGAUUCUGUCUGCAUUGACUGGUUGAGGACUGCAUGUCGUCUAGGAAUGAAGCCACCUGCCGCAGGACAAUGGCAACAAGAAGUUGUCAUGACAGCAUACACAGGUCUGGGACCAGACUAAGUUAAAGCCUGGUGUCAACCACCCUGUUUCCCUCUGAAAGCACAAACAGGUCUGGGACCAGACUAAGUUAAAGCCUGGUGUCAACUACCCUGUU
RNAcentral lists this long non-coding RNA (777 nucleotides) under Salmo salar (Atlantic salmon). Its description in RNAcentral is "lncRNA (ENSSSAG00000111368.1)". Lineage: Eukaryota; Metazoa; Chordata; Actinopteri; Salmoniformes; Salmonidae. The record is from RNAcentral.